ACGUAUUCCUUGUAAUCUUCCCCCAGGUGUUAAAAGAGACUCUGAGAAUGUACCCCACAGCUCCGGGCACAUCUCGUCAUAUUGCUGAAGACAUGGUGAUUGAUGGGAUCCACAUACCUGGAGGAUUUGUUGCUCUUUUCAGCUCCUAUGCGAGUGGGAGACUGGAGAGAUUCUUCAAGGAUCCACUGAGAUUUGAUCCAGACAGAUUUCACCCAGAUGCUCCCAAGCCUUAUUACUGCUACUACCCUUCUUUGCCCUCGGUCCUCGUCGUGCUCUGGG
Molecule: long non-coding RNA, 279 nt
Organism: Haplochromis burtoni (Burton's mouthbrooder)
Lineage: Eukaryota; Metazoa; Chordata; Actinopteri; Cichliformes; Cichlidae
Exons: 3
Source: RefSeq, a predicted model, not a curated record